This 350-nucleotide ribosomal RNA is filed under the name uncultured beta proteobacterium. RNAcentral describes it as "bacterial SSU rRNA". It matches the Rfam family "Bacterial small subunit ribosomal RNA", at positions 39 to 389 of the family's 1533-position model. Lineage: Bacteria; Pseudomonadati; Pseudomonadota; Betaproteobacteria. The record is from RNAcentral.
GCGGGCUGCCUUACACAUGCCAGUCGAACGGCAGCGCGGACUUCGUGUCUGGCGGCGAGUGGCGAACGGGUGAGUAAUACAUCGGAACGUACCUGUUUGCGGGGGAUAACUAGUCGAAAGAUUAGCUAAUACCGCAUACGACCUGGAGGGUGAAAGCGGGGGACCGUAAGGCCUCGCGCAGCAGGAGCGGCCGAUGUCUGAUUAGCUAGUUGGUGGGGUAAAGGCCCACCAAGGCGACCAUCAGUAGCUGGUCUGAGAGGACGAUCAGCCACACUGGGACUGAGACACGGUCCAGACUCCUACGAGAGGCAGCAGUGGGGAAUUUUGGACAAUGGGGGCAGCCCUGAUCC